GCGCGGUUAGCUCAGUUGGUAGAGCAUCCCCUUGACGUGGGGAGGGUCAGGAGUUCGAGUCUCUUACCGCGCACCC
RNAcentral lists this transfer RNA (76 nucleotides) under Candidatus Kaiserbacteria bacterium. RNAcentral's name for it is "tRNA-Val". It matches the Rfam family "tRNA". From Rfam's summary of the family: Transfer RNA (tRNA) molecules are approximately 80 nucleotides in length. Lineage: Bacteria; Candidatus Kaiseribacteriota. The record is from RNAcentral.